This 425-nucleotide ribosomal RNA is filed under the name uncultured bacterium. Its description in RNAcentral is "bacterial SSU rRNA". It matches the Rfam family "Bacterial small subunit ribosomal RNA", at positions 358 to 774 of the family's 1533-position model. The record is from RNAcentral.
GGAAUCUUCGGCAAUGGACGAAAGUCUGACCGAGCAACGCCGCGUGAGUGAAGAAGGUUUUCGGAUCGUAAAACUCUGUUGUUAGAGAAGAACAAGGAUGAGAGUAAAACGUUCAUCCCUUGACGGUAUCUAACCAGAAAGCCACGGCUAACUACGUGCCAGCAGCCGCGGUAAUACGUAGGUGGCAAGCGUUGUCCGGAUUUAUUGGGCGUAAAGCGAGCGCAGGCGGUUUCUUAAGUCUGAUGUGAAAGCCUUCGGCUCAACCGAAGAAGUGCAUCGGAAACUGGGAAACUUGGGUGCAGAAGAGGACAGUGGAACUCGAUGUGUAGCGGUGAAAUGCGUAGAUAUAUGGAAGAACACCAGUGGCGAAGGCGGCUGUCUGGUCUGUAACUGACGCUGAGGCUCGAAAGCAUGGGUAGCAAACA